This 1049-nucleotide ribosomal RNA is filed under the name Halomonas sp. RNAcentral's name for it is "bacterial SSU rRNA". It matches the Rfam family "Bacterial small subunit ribosomal RNA", at positions 87 to 1138 of the family's 1533-position model. Lineage: Bacteria; Pseudomonadati; Pseudomonadota; Gammaproteobacteria; Oceanospirillales; Halomonadaceae. The record is from RNAcentral.
GCUGACGAGCGGCGGACGGGUGAGUAAUGCAUAGGAAUCURCCCGGUAGUGGGGGAUAACCUGGGGAAACCCAGGCUAAUACCGCAUACGUCCUACGGGAGAAAGGGGGCUCCGGCUCCCGCUAUCGGAUGAGCCUAUGUCGGAUUAGCUAGUUGGUGAGGUAAUGGCUCACCAAGGCAACGAUCCGUAGCUGGUCUGAGAGGAUGAUCAGCCACAUCGGGACUGAGACACGGCCCGAACUCCUACGGGAGGCAGCAGUGGGGAAUAUUGGACAAUGGGCGAAAGCCUGAUCCAGCCAUGCCGCGUGUGUGAAGAAGGCCUUCGGGUUGUAAAGCACUUUCAGCGAGGAAGAACGCCUAGUGGUUAAUACCCAUUAGGAAAGACAUCACUCGCAGAAGAAGCACCGGCUAACUCCGUGCCAGCAGCCGCGGUAAUACGGAGGGUGCAAGCGUUAAUCGGAAUUACUGGGCGUAAAGCGCGCGUAGGUGGCUUGAUAAGCCGGUUGUGAAAGCCCCGGGCUCAACCUGGGAACGGCAUCCGGAACUGUCAGGCUAGAGUGCAGGAGAGGAAGGUAGAAUUCCCGGUGUAGCGGUGAAAUGCGUAGAGAUCGGGAGGAAUACCAGUGGCGAAGGCGGCCUUCUGGACUGACACUGACACUGAGGUGCGAAAGCGUGGGUAGCAAACAGGAUUAGAUACCCUGGUAGUCCACGCCGUAAACGAUGUCGACCAGCCGUUGGGUGCCUAGCGCACUUUGUGGCGAAGUUAACGCGAUAAGUCGACCGCCUGGGGAGUACGGCCGCAAGGUUAAAACUCAAAUGAAUUGACGGGGGCCCGCACAAGCGGUGGAGCAUGUGGUUUAAUUCGAUGCAACGCGAAGAACCUUACCUACUCUUGACAUCCUGCGAACUUGUGAGAGAUCACUUGGUGCCUUCGGGAGCGCAGAGACAGGUGCUGCAUGGCUGUCGUCAGCUCGUGUUGUGAAAUGUUGGGUUAAGUCCCGUAACGAGCGCAACCCUUGUCCUUAUUUGCCAGCGGGUAAUGCCGGGAAC